GGGCAGGUGAGGUUCGUUAGCCGUGGUAGGCAAUUCACCUAGGAGAGCAAACUCCGAACAAUAAACCCGGGCAGGUUGGGCUCGUGAGCCGUCAUAGGUAAUACACCUAGGAGAGCAAACUCCGAUUACAAACCCGGGCAGGUGGAGCUCGUCAGCCGUGGUAGGCAGUCUGCCUAGGAGAGCAAACUCCGAACAAUAAACCCGGGCAGGUGGAGCUCGUCAGCCGUGGUAGGCAGUCUGCCUAGGAGAGCAAACUCCGAACAAUAAACCCGGGCAGGUGGAGCUCGUCAGCCGUGGUAGGCAGUCUGCCUAGGAGAGCAAACUCCGAACAAUAAACCCGGGCAGGUGGAGCUCGUCAGCCGUGGUAGGCAGUCUGCCUAGGAGAGCAAACUCCGAACAAUAAACCGGGGCUUGUGGUGCUCGUUAGAUGUCGUAGACAAUCCACGUGAUGGGAACACCAAAGAAAAGGAAAAUAAAAAGGAACACCAGAAAAAGGAAAAUAUAGUAACAAAACAUCAAUAAAAUAAAAUAAAAAACACAGAUCAUCCACCUUCAGGCCCUAACAUCUCCAAAAUUAUGGAUGAGUCUUUUUUGGGGAGAAAGAGGCUCAUCCAGACCAAAGAACAUCAAAAAGGGAUGAUAUAGAAAGGAACACCAAAAAAAUGGGAAAAAGAGAAAAAAACAUCGCAAAAGAAAAGUAACAACAAUAACAGAACAACGUCAAGAAAAGUAACAUACAAAGAAACAUCAUCCACCAUUCGGCCCCAAACAAACAUCACCAAAAUUAUGGGUGGGUCUUUUCUGGGGAGAAAGAGGCUCACCCAGACCAAAGAACAUCAAAGAGGGAUGAUAUUGAAAAGAACACCAAAAAAUAGGGGAAAAAAGAGCAAAAAAACAUCGCAAAAGAAAAGUAACAGCAAUAACAGAACAACAUCAAGAAAAGUAACAUACAAAGAAACAUCAUCCACCAUUCGGCCCCAAACUAACAUCACCAAAAUUAUGGGUGGGUCUCUUCUGGGAGGAAAGCGGCUCACCCAGACCAACGAAGAACAUCAACAAGAGGAUGAUAUGAAACAAAAGGACAUUAAAAAACACGAAGAAAAGAAAUAAGAAGAAAAAGAACAGAAAAAAAACAUCGGGAAAGAAAAACAAGAAGAAAAACACAUCAAGUGAAGAAAAAUAUAAGAAACAUCAUCCACCUUUCGGCCCCUAACUAACAUCACCAAAAUUAUGGGUGGGUCUCUUCUGGGAGGAAAGCGGCUCACCCAGACCAAUGAACAUCAACAAGAGGAUGAUAUGAAAUAAAAGAACAUCAAACAAGAAAAACAACAGCAAGAAAACAAAGAAAAAGAUAAAGAAAAGAA
Long non-coding RNA from Eriocheir sinensis (Chinese mitten crab), 1364 nucleotides. RefSeq lists it as uncharacterized. NCBI's taxonomy places the organism in Eukaryota, Metazoa, Arthropoda, Malacostraca, Decapoda, Varunidae. The transcript has 2 exons. The record is from RefSeq and is a predicted model, not a curated record.